GAAACGCGAUAGUUAAUGUGAAUUGCAGAAUUCAGUGAAUCAUCGAGUCUUUGAACGCACAUUGCGCCCAUAGGUAUUCCUUUGGGCAUGUCUGUUUGGGCGUCAUUACAACCCUCAGCUAACCGCUGGUUUUGAACCUGAACGGGUGACACUGCGCCGGUUUUAAAGUUGUAAGCUCUGCUGGCCGCUCUGCCCAACCAGAACAUAGUAAGCACUACUUGUCCGGGUGAAGCUGAACGGUACGGCCUGAACAAAACCUACCCACUCUCAAGGUUUGACCUCAGAUCAGACAAGGAUACCCGCUGAACUUAAGC
This 314-nucleotide unclassified non-coding RNA is filed under the name plant metagenome. RNAcentral's name for it is "partial contains 5.8S ribosomal RNA, internal transcribed spacer 2, and large subunit ribosomal RNA". The stretch from base 1 to 105 matches the Rfam family "5.8S ribosomal RNA", at positions 50 to 154 of the family's 154-position model. The record is from RNAcentral.